This is a small nuclear RNA of Camelus ferus (Wild Bactrian camel), 151 nucleotides long. It matches the Rfam family "U1 spliceosomal RNA". Rfam says of the family: U1 is a small nuclear RNA (snRNA) component of the spliceosome (involved in pre-mRNA splicing). Its 5' end forms complementary base pairs with the 5' splice junction, thus defining the 5' donor site of an intron. The record is from Rfam. Lineage: Eukaryota; Metazoa; Chordata; Mammalia; Artiodactyla; Camelidae.
UUACUUACCUGGCAGGGGAGAUACCAUAAUCACCAAGGUAAUUUUCCCAGGGCAAGGCUCGACCAUUACACCCCAGAUGUGAUCCCCCAGAUGUGGGGAACCCGACUGCAUCAUUUGUCACAGUGGAGAGGUGUGUUCACACUUUCCCCUG